Molecule: ribosomal RNA, 468 nt
Filed under: Bradyrhizobium sp. gsg11
Lineage: Bacteria; Pseudomonadati; Pseudomonadota; Alphaproteobacteria; Hyphomicrobiales; Nitrobacteraceae
Description: bacterial LSU rRNA
Rfam family: Bacterial large subunit ribosomal RNA
Source: RNAcentral
CUACGCUGCGAUAAGCCGUGGGGAGCUGCGAAGAAGCUUUGAUCCGCGGAUUUCCGAAUGGGGAAACCCACCUUCGAUAGCCGGAACUCCAAGACCUUGUGUUUUGGGGUUCGACCAGAAAUGGAAGAAAUCAGACCGCGAGGUUUUGGAUUUCCGGUUAUCAAGAGAAGGUAUGAGACUUCCGAAUAAAAUAGGAGGUUUUAAGCAAACCCAGGGAACUGAAACAUCUAAGUACCUGGAGGAAAGGACAUCAAUCGAGACUCCGUUAGUAGUGGCGAGCGAACGCGGACCAGGCCAGUGAUACAUCAAAGACAAUCGGAACCUGUCAGGAAAGCAGGGCCUCAGAGGGUGAUAGCCCCGUACGAGUAAUGCGAUGAUGUAUCCACGAGUAAGGCGGGACACGUGUAAUCCUGUCUGAACACGGGGGGACCACCCUCCAAGCCUAAGUACUCCUCAGCGACCGAUAGC